This is a long non-coding RNA of Argiope bruennichi, 554 nucleotides long. RefSeq lists it as uncharacterized. The transcript has 3 exons. NCBI's taxonomy places the organism in Eukaryota, Metazoa, Arthropoda, Arachnida, Araneae, Araneidae. The record is from RefSeq and is a predicted model, not a curated record.
CGUUUAAUCCAUCAAAUUUGAAAAGCUUUCACUAUUCAACCAUCAAGUAAUAAGACAUUAUUAACUGCAACCUGUUGACAUUCCGAUAACAAAGAAUAGUUGCCAUUUCAAAGUUUGAGCAUCUUCUCAGUUUUUCUCCAUUACGGUACUGCAGUUCCUGGCCAAUUCUUUUCAUCUACUUGAGGCAGUUGACCCCUCGAUUAGCUGACACUAUGGCGAUGCUAGAAAAUCCGAAACCCUGCGUGAUUUGCUAUUACCGUAGUGCGAUGCCUUUCUGUUCUAAGCGUGAUCAUGUGGUUGCUGUAGUUAAAAGAAACAUGAUGGUUUGCAUCUUUUGCGAUGCUCGUUUUGGUGACAAGAAGGCAUUUGCCAAACAUAUGCAUAUGCAUUUCCCAGAAGCGAAAUCAGUGGAAUUUCAGGCCUAGAAGAGAUGAUUCCAAAUUCAUCAUUCAUUUUAUAUUUCCUUUUAAGUUUUCAUUAUGUACUAAACUGUUAAAACAGUUUAAAGUUCCUGUAUUUCAAAUAGUCAUUGUAAUUAAAACACAUUUACACUA